RNAcentral lists this small RNA (804 nucleotides) under uncultured Psiloglonium. RNAcentral describes it as "eukaryotic LSU rRNA". The stretch from base 522 to 804 matches the Rfam family "Eukaryotic large subunit ribosomal RNA", at positions 1 to 281 of the family's 3401-position model. Lineage: Eukaryota; Fungi; Ascomycota; Dothideomycetes; Hysteriales; Hysteriaceae. The record is from RNAcentral.
CUUGGUCAUUUAGAGGAAGUAAAAGUCGUAACAAGGUUUCCGUAGGUGAACCUGCGGAAGGAUCAUUACCUAGAGUUGUAGGCUUUGCCUGCUAUCUCUUACCCAUGCCUUUUGAGUACCUUCGUUUCCUCGGCGGGUUCGCCCGCCGAUUGGACAAUUUAAACCAUUUGCAGUUGCAAUCAGCGUCUGAAGAAACAUAAUAGUUACAACUUUCAACAACGGAUCUCUUGGUUCUGGCAUCGAUGAAGAACGCAGCGAAAUGCGAUAAGUAGUGUGAAUUGCAGAAUUCAGUGAAUCAUCGAAUCUUUGAACGCACAUUGCGCCCCUUGGUAUUCCAUGGGGCAUGCCUGUUCGAGCGUCAUUUGUACCUUCAAGCUCUGCUUGGUGUUGGGUGUUUGUCUCGCCUCUGCGUGUAGACUCGCCUCAAAACAAUUGGCAGCCGGCGUAUUGAUUUCGGAGCGCAGUACAUCUCGCGCUUUGCACUCAGAACGACGACGUCCAAAAGUACAUUUUUACACUCUUGACCUCGGAUCAGGUAGGGAUACCCGCUGAACUUAAGCAUAUCAAUAAGCGGAGGAAAAGAAACCAACAGGGAUUGCCCUAGUAACGGCGAGUGAAGCGGCAACAGCUCAAAUUUGAAAUCUGGCGUCUUUGGCGUCCGAGUUGUAAUUUGCAGAGGGCGCUUUGGCAUUGGCAGCGGUCCAAGUUCCUUGGAACAGGACGUCACAGAGGGUGAGAAUCCCGUACGUGGUCGCUAGCCUCUACCGUGUAAAGCCCCUUCGACGAGUCGAGUUGUUUGGGAAU